UUGCCCUAGUAACGGCGAGUGAAGCGGCAACAGCUCAAAUUUGAAAUCUGGCUGUCUUUGGCAGUCCGAGUUGUAAUUUGCAGAGGGUGCUUUGGUGUUGGCAGCGGUCUAAGUUCCUUGGAACAGGACGUCACAGAGGGUGAGAAUCCCGUACGUGGUCGCCUGCCUUCGCCGUGUAAAGCCCCUUCGACGAGUCGAGUUGUUUGGGAAUGCAGCUCUAAAUGGGAGGUAAAUUUCUUCUAAAGCUAAAUACUGGCCAGAGACCGAUAGCGCACAAGUAGAGUGAUCGAAAGAUGAAAAGCACUUUGGAAAGAGAGUCAAACAGCACGUGAAAUUGUUGAAAGGGAAGCGCUUGCCGCCAGACGUGCCCGCGGUUGUUCUCUUCCGUGGGCAGGCCAGCAUCAGUUUGGGCGGUCGGAUAAAGGCCUCUGUCACGUAUCACCCUUCGGGGUGACCUUAUAGGGGAGGUGUAAUGCGACCAGCCUGGACUGAGGUCCGCGCAUCUGCUAGGAUGCUGGCGUAAUGGCUGUAAGCGGCCCGUCUUGAAACACGGACCAAGGAGUCUAACAUCUAUGCGAGUGUUUGGGUGUCAAGCCCGAGCGCGU
This 605-nucleotide small RNA is filed under the name Neodendryphiella mali. RNAcentral describes it as "eukaryotic LSU rRNA". It matches the Rfam family "Eukaryotic large subunit ribosomal RNA", at positions 75 to 717 of the family's 3401-position model. Lineage: Eukaryota; Fungi; Ascomycota; Dothideomycetes; Pleosporales; Dictyosporiaceae. The record is from RNAcentral.